ACGGGAGGCAGCAGUGAGGAAUAUUGCACAAUGGGGGAAACCCUGAUGCAGCGACGCCGCGUGAGUGAAGAAGUAUUUCGGUAUGUAAAGCUCUAUCAGCAGGGAAGAAAAUGACGGUACCUGACUAAGAAGCCCCGGCUAACUACGUGCCAGCAGCCGCGGUAAUACGUAGGGGGCAAGCGUUAUCCGGAUUUACUGGGUGUAAAGGGAGCGUAGACGGCAUAGCAAGUCUGAAGUGAAAGCUCGGGGCUCAACCCCGGAACUGCUUUGGAAACUGUUAAGCUAGAGUAUCGGAGGGGUAAGCGGAAUUCCUAGUGUAGCGGUGAAAUGCGUAGAUAUUAGGAGGAACACCAGUGGCGAAGGCGGCUUACUGGACGAUAACUGACGUUGAGGCUCGAAAGCGUGGGGAGCAAACAGGAUUAGAUACCCUGGUA
RNAcentral lists this ribosomal RNA (434 nucleotides) under uncultured Clostridium sp. RNAcentral's name for it is "partial 16S ribosomal RNA". It matches the Rfam family "Bacterial small subunit ribosomal RNA", at positions 341 to 792 of the family's 1533-position model. The record is from RNAcentral. Lineage: Bacteria; Bacillati; Bacillota; Clostridia; Eubacteriales; Clostridiaceae.